This 201-nucleotide ribosomal RNA is filed under the name uncultured bacterium. Its description in RNAcentral is "partial 16S ribosomal RNA". It matches the Rfam family "Bacterial small subunit ribosomal RNA", at positions 524 to 721 of the family's 1533-position model. The record is from RNAcentral.
UACGUAGGUGGCAAGCGUUGUCCGGAAUUAUUGGGCGUAAAGCGCGCGCAGGCGGUCCUUUAAGUCUGAUGUGAAAGCCCACGGCUCAACCGUGGAGGGUCAUUGGAAACUGGGGGACUUGAGUGCAGAAGAGGAGAGUGGAAUUCCACGUGUAGCGGUGAAAUGCGCUAGAGUAUGAUGGAGGAACACCGGUGGCGAAGG